GCAUUCUUAGCUCAGUUGGAUAGAGCAACAACCUUCUAAGUUGACGGUCGUAGGUUCAAUUCCUACAGAGUGCG
Transfer RNA from Auxenochlorella protothecoides, 74 nucleotides. It matches the Rfam family "tRNA". Rfam says of the family: Transfer RNA (tRNA) molecules are approximately 80 nucleotides in length. Their secondary structure includes four short double-helical elements and three loops (D, anti-codon, and T loops). The record is from Rfam. NCBI's taxonomy places the organism in Eukaryota, Viridiplantae, Chlorophyta, Trebouxiophyceae, Chlorellales, Chlorellaceae.